AUAUAAGAGACGAACUUUGUACACAACGCACAACUCACACGCUUAGCUCUGUCUAUCGUCCGACUUAAUCGUCUGGAGGACACUCGUUAUUAUCUCUAGCGGUAAUACAGAGGAAAGGAGCGUUAACUUGGUCAGAGGACGAAACAAUUACCAAGUGCAUUAGCACGUUGAGAGGGACACGUGGUGGUGUUGAUGUCAACAGACCUUCCUACAACUAGUCCAAGGUCUAAGGUAUUGUACGAUCUACAGAACACCUACAGUCGAAGGUGAGGAACAGGCUGACCGUUGACCUCAGCACGGAUCACAAAGUCCUGACCACUGUCCAUGACCAAUAUGAGUCCUACUAACCCCACUUUAAAAGCGAGCUGCAGUCCUAAGUCAGUGUCGUGCGGCGCUAGUCGUGCAGCACUUGUCGCACUGCUGCUGCUGCUGGCGUUGCCGUCGAUGCUGGGGACUGAUGACGAGUUUCGCUGCUACAACGGAGGUACGGUAUAUGAUAUGGAUAGUGAAGUCAUGCCUGGGGUAAUCGUCCCAAAUAUAAAACGAUGUAUAUGUGUGCCACCCUUCGUCGGGACACAAUGUGAUCAACGUUUCGGACAUCCGGUAACGCCUGAUGCUAAGCGUAACUUACUUACUUUAUUGGGCACGACAGCAUAUAAACCAACCAAGACCGGGACGGACAACGCGGAUGAUGAGUCUGAAGAGCGGCCUGUAGAAGGGUAGAGGUGUCGUGAGAGAACACACCUCAGUCCGAAUUAUUGACAGCACAAGCCAGCAAAAUACCAAUAUCCUGGAUGAGUUCUCAUGUUUUUACCAACGACACCAAGCAGGCGGCAACGGCUUUGUUGACAUCAACUGUCGACAGUGAAUAAUACAGGCAACGGUGUCUGUGAUGAAGACAUGUUGAACUGAAAAUGUCAAUAUAAGAGUUAUCCAUCUUGA
Long non-coding RNA from Pomacea canaliculata, 942 nucleotides. RefSeq lists it as uncharacterized. The record is from RefSeq and is a predicted model, not a curated record. The transcript is spliced from 2 exons. Lineage: Eukaryota; Metazoa; Mollusca; Gastropoda; Architaenioglossa; Ampullariidae.